UUAGGAAUCUUCCACAAUGGGCGAAAGCCUGAUGGAGCGACACCGCGUGAAGGACGAAGGCCCUAGGGUCGUAAACUUCUAAAAGAGGGACGAUAAUGACGGUACCUCUUGAGAAGCACCGGCUAACUCCGUGCCAGCAGCCGCGGUAAUACGGAGAGUGCAAGCGUUAUCCGGAAUCACUGGGCGUAAAGGGCGCGUAGGUGGUUUGUUAAGUCUGGCGUUAAAGCCUGGGGCUCAACCCCAGAUCAGCGUUGGAUACUGGCAGACUAGACGGUUGGAGAGGCGAGUGGAAUUACCAGUGUAGCGGUGGAAUGCGUAGAUACUGGUAGGAACACCCAUUGCGAAGGCAGCUCGCUGGACAACACGUGACACUGAGGCGCGAAAGUGUGGGGAGCAAACCGGAUUAGAUACCCGGGUAGUCCACACCCUAAACGAUGCAUACUUGGUAUUGGCCCGUUGGGGUCAGUGCGCGGAGCUAACGUGUUCUAGUAUGCCGCCUGGGAAGUACGGCCGCAAGGUUGAAACUCAAAUGAAU
This 535-nucleotide ribosomal RNA is filed under the name uncultured bacterium. RNAcentral's name for it is "bacterial SSU rRNA". It matches the Rfam family "Bacterial small subunit ribosomal RNA", at positions 355 to 910 of the family's 1533-position model. The record is from RNAcentral.